This 200-nucleotide unclassified non-coding RNA is filed under the name fungal sp. RNAcentral describes it as "partial internal transcribed spacer 2". Lineage: Eukaryota; Fungi. The record is from RNAcentral.
UUAAGUUCAGCGGGUAUCCUUGUCUGAUCUGAGGUCAAACCAUAAGAGUUUGAAUCAGGCGAGGCCCUUCGACAGUUGGGAACGAGUUUGAAAUUUACUACGUUGACAUCUGGCCGGGAGCCCGCAAGCGUGCCACAUUAGGGAGGGGUCGAAACCGACCGCAUCCCAAGACCCUGCCGGUGGACCGAUAAAAGUCCACG